AUUGAACGCUGGCGGAAUGCUUUACACAUGCAAGUCGGGCGGCAGCGCGGGGGCAACCCUGGCGGCGAGCGGCGAACGGGUGAGUAACACAUCGGAACGUACCCUGUCGUGGGGGAUAACGAAUCGAAAGAUUCGCUAAUACCGCAUACGACCUGAGGGUGAAAGCGGGGGAUCGCAAGACCUCGCGCGAGAGGAGCGGCCGAUGGCGGAUUAGCUAGUUGGUGGGGUAAAGGCCCACCAUGGCGACGAUCCGUAGCGGGUCUGAGAGGACGGCCCGCCACACUGGGACUGAGACACGGCCCAGACUCCUACGGGAGGCAGCAGUGGGGAAUUUUGGACAAUGGGGGCAACCCUGAUCCAGCCAUUCCGCGUGAGUGAAGAAGGCCUGGUGUAAG
This 395-nucleotide ribosomal RNA is filed under the name uncultured bacterium. Its description in RNAcentral is "bacterial SSU rRNA". It matches the Rfam family "Bacterial small subunit ribosomal RNA", at positions 29 to 429 of the family's 1533-position model. The record is from RNAcentral.